This 639-nucleotide ribosomal RNA is filed under the name uncultured Actinomycetes bacterium. RNAcentral's name for it is "bacterial SSU rRNA". It matches the Rfam family "Bacterial small subunit ribosomal RNA", at positions 232 to 885 of the family's 1533-position model. Lineage: Bacteria; Bacillati; Actinomycetota; Actinomycetes. The record is from RNAcentral.
CGCGGCCUAUCAGCUUGUUGGUGAGGUAACGGCUCACCAAGGUAUCGACGGGUAGCUGGUCUGAGAGGAUGAUCAGCCACACUGGGACUGAGACACGGCCCAGACUCCUACGGGAGGCAGCAGUAGGGAAUAUUGCACAAUGGGCGAAAGCCUGAUGCAGCAACGCCGCGUGCGGGAAGAAGGCCCUAGGGUUGUAAACCGCUUUCAGCAGGGAAGAAAAUGACGGUACCUGCAGAAGAAGGUGCGGCCAACUACGUGCCAGCAGCCGCGGUAAUACGUAGGGCGCAAGCGUUGUCCGGAUUUAUUGGGCGUAAAGGGCUCGUAGGCGGUUUGGUAAGUCGGGUGUGAAAACUCAGGGCUCAACUCUGAGACGCCACUCGAUACUGCCAUGACUAGAGUCCGGUAGGGGAGUGCGGAAUUCCUGGUGUAGCGGUGAAAUGCGCAGAUAUCAGGAGGAACACCAACAGCGAAGGCAGCACUCUGGGCCGGUACUGACGCUGAGGAGCGAAAGCAUGGGGAGCAAACAGGAUUAGAUACCCUGGUAGUCCAUGCCGUAAACGUUGGGCACUAGGUAUGGGAUCAUAUCAACGGAUUCCGUGCCGUAGCUAACGCAUUAAGUGCCCCGCCUGGGGAGUACGG